GACGAACGCUGGCGGCGUGCUUAACACAUGCAAGUCGAACGGAAAGGCCCUGCUUUUGUGGGGUGCUCGAGUGGCGAACGGGUGAGUAACACGUGAGUAACCUGCCCUUGACUUUGGGAUAACUUCAGGAAACUGGGGCUAAUACCGGAUAGGAGCUCCUGCUGCAUGGGGGGGGUUGGAAAGUUUCGGCGGUUGGGGAUGGACUCGCGGCUUAUCAGCUUGUUGGUGGGGUAGUGGCUUACCAAGGCUUUGACGGGUAGCCGGCCUGGGAGGGUGACCGGCCACAUUGGGACUGCGAGACGGCCCAGACUCCUACGGGAGGCAGCAGUGGGGAAUAUUGCACAAUGGGCGGAAGCCUGAUGCAGCAACGCCGCGUGCGGGAUGACGGCCUUCGGGUUGUAAACCGCUUUCGCCUGUGACGAAGCGUGAGUGACGGUAAUGGGUAAAGAAGCACCGGCUAACUACGUG
RNAcentral lists this ribosomal RNA (468 nucleotides) under uncultured bacterium. RNAcentral describes it as "partial 16S ribosomal RNA". It matches the Rfam family "Bacterial small subunit ribosomal RNA", at positions 28 to 507 of the family's 1533-position model. The record is from RNAcentral.